This 76-nucleotide transfer RNA is filed under the name Alphaproteobacteria bacterium. RNAcentral describes it as "tRNA-Ile". It matches the Rfam family "tRNA". Rfam says of the family: Transfer RNA (tRNA) molecules are approximately 80 nucleotides in length. Their secondary structure includes four short double-helical elements and three loops (D, anti-codon, and T loops). The record is from RNAcentral. Lineage: Bacteria; Pseudomonadati; Pseudomonadota; Alphaproteobacteria.
GGGGGAUUAGCUCAGUGGUUAGAGCAGGGCACUCAUAAUGCCUUGGCCGGGAGUUCAAAUCUCUCAUCCCCUACCA